CUUUCUCUUCUCUUCCCUCCAAUCUCAGCCACACAUGUGGCACCAUAUCCAUUCUCCAACAAAUCUGGAAUCUUCCAGAUUAAUAAUUAGAUUCCCAUUUUGCCCAUAAAUUCUUUCAUUAAUAACUCAUUCGUUAUAACUUCGUUUCAUAAACGGUUUGCGCCUAUGCCUUCGUGAGAUCGAGCUCUAUCCAAAUAUAUCAAGAAAUACAAUAAAAUAUAUACAAGGAUAAAAUAUGUCAUCGUAUAAUUACGUUAAACCAACUAGGGCAUUUUCAUCUUUUUCACCUAUCGAUAAAUUUUUAUGACGUAAAUUAUAAUAAUUUCAGGGAACAAAAUUUUUAAAAUUUCUCAAUUCAAUUUUCAUAACCAUAAAUCGAUUUAUUUUUUAUUUUCUCCACAUUUUCAUAAUUAUGAAUAUCUAAUUCAUAUAUUUAAAUUUUCAAGGCAUUACAAAAGAUGUCGAAAAAAUAAUCAGUGACCACACCUGCUAUUCCUGCAUCAUCAUCAUACCAAACACCAUUACUACCCCUUAAACCAACAAUACGAUUCUUGCUCCUAUGAACAGAAGCCCUUCGAUGGAAGAAUUUGGUAUUCCGGUCACCAUCACGCAUCCAACCGGCCUUAGACCUUUGUCUCCAAUAGGUCUCCUCUUAGGCCAAAAGGGAUUCAAGUUACUGAGCAAGAACCUGUCUUUUUACAAGAGAUGAAUUAAAAAAAGGUUGGUCAAUAGAAUGUAAUUUAGAGCAGACCUUACUCAAUUCGACUUGGUAAGCUUCUCAUGAAGUUGGUAAAGAGUUAGGAGAGUGAUGUUGAAGCUUCUCAUGAGUCUAGUUCCUCUGUUGCCUAUGGAGUCGAGGGUAGAUACCAAGUCACUUGUUGGCUUACAACCACAACAUGGCUUGACUAGUGGCAUAUACCACUUAAGGCACUUCUAACUUUACGCACAGUCACUACUAAAAAUUUAGGUCAAAGGCCACAAAUUAUGGUUCACCCUCUUAAUGAGGAUAAAUACCUCAAGGGACUCUCACUGACUAUAAGUGACACCUAAUGAUAUAGAAUGUAUUAGGAGAACCUAUUUGGACACACCCCGAUCCGAAUUCCAGUGGGCACUAAAAUUGAGGCUUGUUGACCAUCACCCGAAACAAUGACAAAGCCAUGGUAUGCAUGAAAUCAUCACAAAAGUUUUUUAACUCUUAAAAUCUGCCUAAUAUUCGGUAAAGCAUCCUUAAAGUAGAGAUAAUCCCAAAUUAAAGCACCUACAAACAACCACAUUUAUUCCAAGACAUUCCCGAAGGGCCACACCUAAUGCGUCUCUGACCCUCUAUUACAUACAUAAAUAUAGGUAGAUAGCACACUUCACCAAUACUAGUACUACGGAUAAAGCGAAGCAUGUAUCCUACUAAGUGAGAUAAUAUCAGAGCAUGUGAAGAUACCUCGACAUCUACUAAUAAUUCUUAUAUACACUAAGCUAUUGCUUACCAGUGGCAUGGCAUACCAAAUCAUACACCAGUAAUAAUCAGUGUAAGCUGAAAGUAUAACCAUUUCAUUGCCUCGAAAUUUCGAGGCAAUGACAAACUGAGAAUAUAAUUGUGUAUCAUGUCAUUAUUGAGUUAUCUCGAAGUAAUGCCAAGUUGAAAGUAUAAAUUUAUAACCAUAUCAUUACAGAGUAAUCUUGAUGCAAUGACAAGCUGAACAAUAUAACCAUACACAUGUAAGUUGGGUACCAUUUCCAUAGAAUGGACAAACUGAAUAAUAUAACCAUACACGUGUAAUCGGAAUACCGUGUCC
This 1790-nucleotide long non-coding RNA is filed under the name Malus domestica (apple). Its description in RNAcentral is "long non-coding RNA (MDOM_LNC015516)". The record is from RNAcentral. Lineage: Eukaryota; Viridiplantae; Streptophyta; Magnoliopsida; Rosales; Rosaceae.